This 253-nucleotide ribosomal RNA is filed under the name uncultured bacterium. RNAcentral's name for it is "partial 16S ribosomal RNA". It matches the Rfam family "Bacterial small subunit ribosomal RNA", at positions 524 to 776 of the family's 1533-position model. The record is from RNAcentral.
CACGUAGGGGACGAGCGUUGUCCGGAUUCAUUGGGCGCAAAGCGCGCGUAGGCGGCUCGGAAAGUCGGGCGUGAAAUGCCGGGGCUCAACCGGGGAGAGUCGUCGGGGACCGCACCGCUUGAGGGCGGUAGGGGCUGGUGGAAUUCCUGGUGUAGCGGUGAAAUGCGCAGAUAUCAGGAGGAACACCGAUGGCGAAGGCAGGUCUCUGGGCAUUAACUGACGCUGAGGAGCGAAAGCAUGGGGAGCGAACAGG